Alligator mississippiensis (American alligator) is the source of this 46-nucleotide non-coding RNA. The record is from Rfam. NCBI's taxonomy places the organism in Eukaryota, Metazoa, Chordata, Crocodylia, Alligatoridae.
AAACAGGCUUUUUUCAAAGCCAAUUGCAGUCAACUGAAAUUCUUUU